Molecule: ribosomal RNA, 253 nt
Filed under: uncultured bacterium
Lineage: Bacteria
Description: partial 16S ribosomal RNA
Rfam family: Bacterial small subunit ribosomal RNA
Source: RNAcentral
UACGUAGGGUGCAAGCGUUGUCCGGAAUUAUUGGGCGUAAAGAGCUCGUAGGCGGUUUGUCGCGUCUGCUGUGAAAGUUCGGGGCUCAACCCCGGAACUGCAGUGGGUACGGGCAGACUAGAGUGCGGUAGAGGAGACUGGAAUUCCUGGUGUAGCGGUGGAAUGCGCAGAUAUCAGGAGGAACACCAGUGGCGAAGGCGGGUCUCUGGGCCGAAUCUGACGCUGAGGCACGAAAGCGUGGGGAUCAAACGGG